CUUUUACUCUUCAUAUUUCUUCUUGUUGCUGGCAUCUUGGGUUGAAAUUCAGAAUUCCAAUAGCAAACAAUUCAGAUUCUCAAGAAGGCUAACGAACUUUCCUUUCUCUGUGAUGCUGAGGUUGCUAUCAUCCCAAUCCCUGUGAUACUAUUCCACUUGCAUGUGAGUUUGUAUGUUUGUUAUUGAUUUAUUAGCUUUUUCAACUUCCUGCUAAUUACAUAUUAAAUAGGACUUAUUAAGUUCUUAUAAUCUAAUUACCAUUGCUUCUCUGCUAGUAAAAUAUUGAGUUCUUGUUUAAAUCUCUUUCGUGAUUUCAGUAAGACACGCUACUUUCCACUUCAAUUUCUGAAACCAAGUAUAAUAAUAUUUUGUUGAUCUAGAAAACUGAUUUGGAAUAUGAUGGAUACACUUGAAUCUGAUACCGAAUUGUGGUAGGCCACGCUAGGUACUUCCCCUUUAGAUGUAAGAUUUGAGACGCUUAAAACCAAAUCUAAUGAUCUUUGUUUUCUUCCAAUGAUUAAUAUACCAACAUGUUAUAGGUGAUUUUACACAAGUUUUGGACAUUCUUAUGUUGUUUUCUCAGGUCAAUAUCAUACAUAAAAGAUGAUAAGUACUGUGUAGAAUUCUUCAUUUAUAUGGCAUCUCAGGUAUAGAUUUCUUCUUUAAUAAGUUUUAUCAUUACUCCUUUGACUAUAUGCAUGGUCCAAUGCUCAUCAUUUAUGUGCAAAACUAAGCCCAUUUCUAUGUUAAAGCCAAAAUGAAGACUAUGGCGACAAGAGGAAGUAAUGAUGAUACAUGUGGUUCAUUAAGUGACUUUUUCCAAUACAACAAUUAUUAUGACUUUCUCUCCCUCCCUGAGGUAUUUAAUUUUUACAUACUCUUGUUCAUGUGUUGUCUCUGCUGCAAUUUUAUAUGUUACUGUUUUUACUCUAUUUUAUCUUAUGGUUUAUUGCAGAUUCAGAAAAGGGGUUACAAAUUUUCUGAAAAUAUGUUUGAUUGAUUUUGGCAUGACUUGUGUUGGGAAGGAGCUUGUUAAAGAUGCUGCCAAAGUCGCUAAA
This 1058-nucleotide long non-coding RNA is filed under the name Trifolium pratense (red clover). RNAcentral's name for it is "long non-coding RNA (TPRA_LNC007611)". The record is from RNAcentral. Lineage: Eukaryota; Viridiplantae; Streptophyta; Magnoliopsida; Fabales; Fabaceae.